GGCAGUGUGGCUCAAUGGAUAAGGGCCCUAGAUUGGGAAUCAGGAGACCUGGUUCGUAUUCCCAGCUCUGCCC
RNAcentral lists this transfer RNA (73 nucleotides) under Chelonia mydas (Green sea turtle). It matches the Rfam family "tRNA". From Rfam's summary of the family: Transfer RNA (tRNA) molecules are approximately 80 nucleotides in length. The record is from Rfam by way of RNAcentral. Lineage: Eukaryota; Metazoa; Chordata; Testudines; Cheloniidae.